This 464-nucleotide ribosomal RNA is filed under the name uncultured bacterium. Its description in RNAcentral is "partial 16S ribosomal RNA". It matches the Rfam family "Bacterial small subunit ribosomal RNA", at positions 29 to 507 of the family's 1533-position model. The record is from RNAcentral.
AUGAACGCUGGCGGCGUGCUUCACACAUGCCAGUCGAACGGAAAGGCCCAAGCUUGCUUGGGUACUCGAGUGGCGAACGGGUGAGUAACACGUGGGUGAUCUGCCCUGCACUUCGGGAUAAGCCUGGGAAACUGGGUCUAAUACCGGAUAGGACCACAUUUUGGAUGGUGUGGUGGAAAGUUUUUCGGUGUGGGAUGAGCUCGCGGCCUAUCAGCUUGUUGGUGGGGUAAUGGCCUACCAAGGCGUCGACGGGUAGCCGGCCUGAGAGGGUGUACGGCCACAUUGGGACUGAGAUACGGCCCAGACUCCUACGGGAGGCAGCAGUGGGGAAUAUUGCACAAUGGGCGCAAGCCUGAUGCAGCGACGCCGCGUGGGGGAUGACGGCCUUCGGGUUGUAAACUCCUUUCGCUAGGGACGAAGCGCAAGUGACGGUACCUGGAGAAGAAGCACCGGCUAACUACGUG